GACGAACGCUGGCGGCGUGCCUAACACAUGCAAGUCGAGCGGAGAUAUAUGGAGGAAGUUUUCGGAUGGAGUUUAUAUAUUUUAGCGGCGGACGGGUGAGUAACGCGUGAGGAACCUGCCCUUUACAGGGGGAUAACGCACCGAAAGGUGCACUAAUACCGCAUGAGACCACAGCACCGCAUGGUGCAGGGGUCAAAGGAGUAAUCCGGUGAAGGAGGGACUCGCGUCCGAUUAGAUAGUUGGUGGGGUAAGGGCUCACCAAGUCAACGAUCGGUAGCCGACCUGAGAGGGUGAUCGGCCACAUUGGAACUGAGACACGGUCCAAACUCCUACGGGAGGCAGCAGUGGGGAAUAUUGGGCAAUGGGGGGAACCCUGACCCAGCGACGCCGCGUGAGGGAAGAAGGUUUUCGGAUUGUAAACCUCUGUCCUUGGUGAAGAGUAGAAGACGGUAGCCAAGGAGGAAGCCCCGGCUAACUACGUG
This 482-nucleotide ribosomal RNA is filed under the name uncultured bacterium. RNAcentral's name for it is "bacterial SSU rRNA". It matches the Rfam family "Bacterial small subunit ribosomal RNA", at positions 28 to 507 of the family's 1533-position model. The record is from RNAcentral.